RNAcentral lists this ribosomal RNA (576 nucleotides) under uncultured eukaryote. RNAcentral's name for it is "bacterial SSU rRNA". It matches the Rfam family "Eukaryotic small subunit ribosomal RNA", at positions 174 to 747 of the family's 1831-position model. The record is from RNAcentral.
UAAAAACCCCGACUUCGGAAGGGGUGUAUUUAUUAGAUACAAAACCAAUGCCCUUCGGGGCUCUUUGGUGAUUCAUGAUAACUAUACGAAUCGCACGGCCUUGCGCCGGCGAUGGUUCAUUCAAAUUUCUUCCCUAUCAACUUUCGAUGUUUGGGUAUUGGCCAAACAUGGUUGCAACGGGUAACGGAGGGUUAGGGCUCGACCCCGGAGAAGGAGCCUGAGAAACGGCUACUACAUCCAAGGAAGGCAGCAGGCGCGCAAAUUACCCAAUCCCGACUCGGGGAGGUAGUGACAAUAAAUACUGAUACAGGGCCCUUUCGGGCCUUGUAAUUGGAAUGAGUACAAUUUAAAUCCCUUAACGAGGAACAAUUGGAGGGCAAGUCUGGUGCCAGCAGCCGCGGUAAUUCCAGCUCCAAUAGCGGUAUUAAAAAUGUUGUGGUUAAAAAGCUCUUAAUUAAGACUUGGGGCAGGCUAGGCCGGGCGCCUCACCCCGUGCACUGUUCCGGUCCGAUAUUGUAUAUUAAAGAAGUUGUGGUUAAAAAGCUCGUAGUUGAACCUUGGGCCUGGCUGGCUGGU